Molecule: ribosomal RNA, 253 nt
Filed under: uncultured bacterium
Lineage: Bacteria
Description: partial 16S ribosomal RNA
Rfam family: Bacterial small subunit ribosomal RNA
Source: RNAcentral
UACGUAGGGGGCGAGCGUUGUCCGGAAUUACUGGGCGUAAAGAGCGCGUAGGCGGCCUGCUAAGUCAGGUGUGAAAACUUAAGGCUCAACCUUAAGAUGGCAUUUGAAACUGACAGGCUUGAGGGCAGGAGAGGAGAGCGGAAUUCCUAGUGUAGCAGUGAAAUGCGUAGAUAUUAGGAGGAACACCAGUGGCGAAGGCGGCUCUCUGGACUGAACCUGACGCUGAGGUGCGAAAGCCAGGGGAGCAAACGGG